This is a non-coding RNA of Ornithorhynchus anatinus (platypus), 77 nucleotides long. The record is from Rfam. Lineage: Eukaryota; Metazoa; Chordata; Mammalia; Monotremata; Ornithorhynchidae.
UGCUGUGUUUGGCAAUGGUAGAACUCACACUGGUGAGGUAAUGGGAUCCGGUGGUUCUAGACUUGCCAACUAUGGCC